Molecule: non-coding RNA, 45 nt
Filed under: Schistosoma mattheei
Lineage: Eukaryota; Metazoa; Platyhelminthes; Trematoda; Strigeidida; Schistosomatidae
Source: RNAcentral
AUCCAGCUGAUGAGUCCUAUAUAAGACAAAACACGCGUCCUAGAU